Mauremys reevesii (Reeves's turtle) is the source of this 829-nucleotide long non-coding RNA. RefSeq lists it as uncharacterized. Lineage: Eukaryota; Metazoa; Chordata; Testudines; Geoemydidae. The transcript has 3 exons. The record is from RefSeq and is a predicted model, not a curated record.
CUGCAAAGACAGGCUGUAUGGAAGCUUCCCAGGGAGCUGGACCUUUAGAAGAAGAGAAUCACAAAAUCUCUGCCUGCCUGCCACAACAGGAUCUACCCCAUGGAUCAUCCAUCUACAAUUUAGACAACAGUAGACGGGAGAAGAGUAACCCCUGCAGCACAUGACUUCCACGCUCCGAUACAUCUCCAUCCAGCUACAGUUGCUAAGGGUUAGGGCAGGAUUGAAAGCUGACAUCCCUCCAUAGGAAUCCAUUUGGCUUGUGCAGCCACUAAUCUAGUCCAAGAGUUUGCCUCAUCCACACCUGAAAAUUAUGUCAGAUUGUGAACGAGAUGGAGAAGCAGCGAUAUUACUCAGAACAUGACCUGAUAUUUCAGCAGCUGUGUUGACUCCCACACUUACAAUGGAUUAAAAUUCAUGCUGUCUGGAAAGACAAUCUUCUUUUUCGUCUUGUCACUUGGUGGCUGGUGGGCCCAACAUGUAUUAAGCCUAAAGCCUACUAGGUACACCAAAUUACCAAGACACUUUUAGAAUGCUGUUAAGCUAUUGUAGGAUGUGGAAAAAGACAGUUUGCAAAGAUACAAAAUGCACACUAUCUUGUUAUUUGACUUAGUAACUGAUUUUGCAAGGAAUGUACAAGACCAACAGUUGUUAAAUUGACAAAUUUAAUGUAUUUAUUGGAAAUUUAUAUCUCUAUAUAAAUGGCAUAAACAAUGACACCAGACACUGAUCUUGCAGUUAGAAAUUUAUGAAAUAUGAUAGGAUGUUUGGAAAUGUGCUAAAAAUAAAGAUUGUAUGUGAAAAGAGGAACCUGCUUAAAGUGAAAUAGUAA